RNAcentral lists this ribosomal RNA (253 nucleotides) under uncultured bacterium. RNAcentral describes it as "partial 16S ribosomal RNA". It matches the Rfam family "Bacterial small subunit ribosomal RNA", at positions 524 to 776 of the family's 1533-position model. The record is from RNAcentral.
UACGAAGGGGGCGAGCGUUGUUCGGAAUUACUGGGCGUAAAGGGCGCGCAGGCGGCGAGUUUUGUCAGGCGUGAAAGCCCCGGGCUCAACCUGGGAACUGCGCUUGAAACGGGCUUGCUGGAGACCGGGAGAGGAGAGUGGAAUUCCCAGUGUAGAGGUGAAAUUCGUAGAUAUUGGGAAGAACACCGGUGGCGAAGGCGGCAUCCUGGACCGGUAUUGACGCUGAGGCGCGAAAGCCAGGGGAGCAAACGGG